UGGGGAAUUUUGGACAAUGGGCGCAAGCCUGAUCCAGCCAUGCCGCGUGCGGGAAGAAGGCCUUCGGGUUGUAAACCGCUUUUGUCAGGGAAGAAAUCUUCUGAGUUAAUACCUCGGGAGGAUGACGGUACCUGAAGAAUAAGCACCGGCUAACUACGUGCCAGCAGCCGCGGUAAUACGUAGGGUGCAAGCGUUAAUCGGAAUUACUGGGCGUAAAGCGUGCGCAGGCGGUUUUGUAAGACAGAGGUGAAAUCCCCGGGCUCAACCUGGGAACUGCCUUUGUGACUGCAAGGCUUGAGUGCGGCAGAGGGGGAUGGAAUUCCGCGUGUAGCAGUGAAAUGCGUAGAUAUGCGGAGGAACACCGAUGGCGAAGGCAAUCCCCUGGGCCUGCACUGACGCUCAUGCACGAAAGCGUGGGGAGCAAACAGGAUUAGAUACCCCUGGUAGUCCACGCCCUAAACGAUGUCAACUGGUUGUUGGGAAGGUUCCUUCUCAGUAACGUAGCUAACGCGUGAAGUUGACCGCCUGGGGAGUACGGCCGCAAGGUUGAAACUCAAAGGAAUUGACGGGGUCAUAGCUGUUU
Molecule: ribosomal RNA, 583 nt
Filed under: uncultured bacterium
Lineage: Bacteria
Description: partial 16S ribosomal RNA
Rfam family: Bacterial small subunit ribosomal RNA
Source: RNAcentral